RNAcentral lists this ribosomal RNA (2931 nucleotides) under Klebsiella aerogenes. Its description in RNAcentral is "bacterial LSU rRNA". It matches the Rfam family "Bacterial large subunit ribosomal RNA". Lineage: Bacteria; Pseudomonadati; Pseudomonadota; Gammaproteobacteria; Enterobacterales; Enterobacteriaceae. The record is from RNAcentral.
GGGUUGUGAGGUUAAGCGACUAAGCGUACACGGUGGAUGCCCUGGCAGUCAGAGGCGAUGAAGGACGUGCUAAUCUGCGAAAAGCGUCGGUAAGGUGAUAUGAACCGUUACAGCCGGCGAUGUCCGAAUGGGGAAACCCAGUGUGAUUCGUCACACUAUCGUUAACUGAAUACAUAGGUUAACGAGGCGAACCGGGGGAACUGAAACAUCUAAGUACCCCGAGGAAAAGAAAUCAACCGAGAUUCCCCCAGUAGCGGCGAGCGAACGGGGAGCAGCCCAGAGUCUGAAUCAGCUUGUGUGUUAGUGGAACGGUCUGGAAAGUCCGACGGUACAGGGUGAUAGUCCCGUACACCAAAAUGCACAGGUUGUGAACUCGAAGAGUAGGGCGGGACACGUGGUAUCCUGUCUGAAUAUGGGGGGACCAUCCUCCAAGGCUAAAUACUCCUGACUGACCGAUAGUGAACCAGUACCGUGAGGGAAAGGCGAAAAGAACCCCGGCGAGGGGAGUGAAAAAGAACCUGAAACCGUGUACGUACAAGCAGUGGGAGCACCUUCGGGUGUGACUGCGUACCUUUUGUAUAAUGGGUCAGCGACUUAUAUUCUGUAGCAAGGUUAACCGUAUAGGGGAGCCGCAGGGAAACCGAGUCUUAACUGGGCGUUAAGUUGCAGGGUAUAGACCCGAAACCCGGUGAUCUAGCCAUGGGCAGGUUGAAGGUUGGGUAACACUAACUGGAGGACCGAACCGACUAAUGUUGAAAAAUUAGCGGAUGACUUGUGGCUGGGGGUGAAAGGCCAAUCAAACCGGGAGAUAGCUGGUUCUCCCCGAAAGCUAUUUAGGUAGCGCCUCGUGAACUCAUCUUCGGGGGUAGAGCACUGUUUCGGCUAGGGGGUCAUCCCGACUUACCAACCCGAUGCAAACUACGAAUACCGAAGAAUGUUAUCACGGGAGACACACGGCGGGUGCUAACGUCCGUCGUGAAGAGGGAAACAACCCAGACCGCCAGCUAAGGUCCCAAAGUCACAGUUAAGUGGGAAACGAUGUGGGAAGGCACAGACAGCCAGGAUGUUGGCUUAGAAGCAGCCAUCAUUUAAAGAAAGCGUAAUAGCUCACUGGUCGAGUCGGCCUGCGCGGAAGAUGUAACGGGGCUAAACUGUGCACCGAAGCUGCGGCAGCGACACUAUGUGUUGUUGGGUAGGGGAGCGUUCUGUAAGCCUGCGAAGGUGGCCUGUGAGGGUUGCUGGAGGUAUCAGAAGUGCGAAUGCUGACAUAAGUAACGAUAAUGCGGGUGAAAAGCCCGCACGCCGGAAGACCAAGGGUUCCUGUCCAACGUUAAUCGGGGCAGGGUGAGUCGACCCCUAAGGCGAGGCCGAAAGGCGUAGUCGAUGGGAAACAGGUUAAUAUUCCUGUACUUGGUGUUACUGCGAAGGGGGGACGGAGAAGGCUAUGUUAGCCGGGCGACGGUUGUCCCGGUUUAAGCAUGUAGGCGGAGGUUCCAGGUAAAUCCGGUACCUUUUAACGCUGAGGUGUGAUGACGAGGCACUACGGUGCUGAAGUAACAAAUGCCCUGCUUCCAGGAAAAGCCUCUAAGCAUCAGGUAACAUUGAAUCGUACCCCAAACCGACACAGGUGGUCAGGUAGAGAAUACCAAGGCGCUUGAGAGAACUCGGGUGAAGGAACUAGGCAAAAUGGUGCCGUAACUUCGGGAGAAGGCACGCUGAUAUGUAGGUGAAGCCCCUGCGGGUGGAGCUGAAAUCAGUCGAAGAUACCAGCUGGCUGCAACUGUUUAUUAAAAACACAGCACUGUGCAAACACGAAAGUGGACGUAUACGGUGUGACGCCUGCCCGGUGCCGGAAGGUUAAUUGAUGGGGUUAUCCGUAAGGAGAAGCUCUUGAUCGAAGCCCCGGUAAACGGCGGCCGUAACUAUAACGGUCCUAAGGUAGCGAAAUUCCUUGUCGGGUAAGUUCCGACCUGCACGAAUGGCGUAAUGAUGGCCAGGCUGUCUCCACCCGAGACUCAGUGAAAUUGAACUCGCUGUGAAGAUGCAGUGUACCCGCGGCAAGACGGAAAGACCCCGUGAACCUUUACUAUAGCUUGACACUGAACAUUGAGCCUUGAUGUGUAGGAUAGGUGGGAGGCUUUGAAGCGUGGACGCCAGUCUGCGUGGAGCCAACCUUGAAAUACCACCCUUUAAUGUUUGAUGUUCUAACGUUGGCCCCUUAUCGGGGUUGCGGACAGUGUCUGGUGGGUAGUUUGACUGGGGCGGUCUCCUCCCAAAGAGUAACGGAGGAGCACGAAGGUUAGCUAAUCCUGGUCGGACAUCAGGAGGUUAGUGCAAUGGCAUAAGCUAGCUUGACUGCGAGCGUGACGGCGCGAGCAGGUGCGAAAGCAGGUCAUAGUGAUCCGGUGGUUCUGAAUGGAAGGGCCAUCGCUCAACGGAUAAAAGGUACUCCGGGGAUAACAGGCUGAUACCGCCCAAGAGUUCAUAUCGACGGCGGUGUUUGGCACCUCGAUGUCGGCUCAUCACAUCCUGGGGCUGAAGUAGGUCCCAAGGGUAUGGCUGUUCGCCAUUUAAAGUGGUACGCGAGCUGGGUUUAGAACGUCGUGAGACAGUUCGGUCCCUAUCUGCCGUGGGCGCUGGAGAAUUGAGGGGGGCUGCUCCUAGUACGAGAGGACCGGAGUGGACGCAUCACUGGUGUUCGGGUUGUCAUGCCAAUGGCAUUGCCCGGUAGCUAAAUGCGGAAGAGAUAAGUGCUGAAAGCAUCUAAGCACGAAACUUGCCCCGAGAUGAGUUCUCCCUGAGACUUUAAGUCUCCUGAAGGAACGUUAAAGACGAUGACGUUGAUAGGUCGGGUGUGUAAGCGUAGCGAUACGUUGAGCUAACCGAUACUAAUGAACCGUGAGGCUUAACCUUACAACGCCGAAGGUGUUU